This 383-nucleotide ribosomal RNA is filed under the name uncultured bacterium. Its description in RNAcentral is "bacterial SSU rRNA". It matches the Rfam family "Bacterial small subunit ribosomal RNA", at positions 29 to 424 of the family's 1533-position model. The record is from RNAcentral.
AGUGAACGCUGGCGGCGUGCUUAACACAUGCAAGUCGAACGAGCAAGUGCUGUAGUAAUACAGAUUACUGCUAGUGGCAGACGGGUGAGUAAUACAUGGGAAUCUGCCUUGAAGUCUGGGAUAACUGUUGGAAACGACAGCUAAUACCGGAUAUUGCCGAGAGGUGAAAGAUUUAUCGCUUCAAGAUGAGCCCAUGCAAGAUUAGCUAGUUGGUGAGGUAAUGGCUCACCAAGGCGAAGAUCUUUAGCUGGUCUAAGAGGAUGAUCAGCCACACUGGAACUGAGACACGGUCCAGACUCCUACGGGAGGCAGCAGUGGGGAAUAUUGGACAAUGGGCGAAAGCCUGAUCCAGCGACGCCGCGUGAGUGAAGAAGGCCUCGGUU